GCGAAAUAUGCCCAUUGUCACUACCUGUUAGUAAAGUAAUCAAGGAACAUUUAGAUAGAUAAAUGGAAAAUUUGUUUACAUACUGUUCUGUACCAAUGUAACUAUGACCUCUGCUUAUUAAGGAAUUUCUUUUGAAAAUUACACAUUCACUACUCCAUAUUAUCAACUAAGAAUUUUUUAGUACCCUUGUAAAGCUAAAUGUUCUUUUUCAAUUCAUACACUUUUGUACCUGAUGUCAAUUUAUUUUUCUUUUGUAUCUGAAUACUUUCAAUUCUUUUGCUCAUAUGUAUGUUUACUGUACAGUGCAGUACAAUUCAUGUGUAUGUCUUCAAUUUUUUUGUUUCAUUCUACACAUGUAUCUAGCCUAAGUUCAUGUCUCCCUUUGUUUCAAUUUAAAAUCUAAACUAGAUGCUCUGUAAUAUGAUUUUUAUUUUGUUUCCAUUUUAAUAUCUUUUUUUUCGUGAUGUAUGCUACAACCUGUUAAUGCUUUUUUUUUUUUCAAUAAGUACAAAUUUUAUUUAAUUAUUUUUGAAAUUUCUAUGUGCAACAAUUUAUGAUUCUUUCAAUAAAACAAUGUUUUGUCAGCUGUUUCCUUUAUGCUUUAUAUGUAACCUGGGAAAAAUACUACAUGUAAUUUAAGUGUAUACUGUAUCAAAAGAUAUUUCAUU
Molecule: non-coding RNA, 668 nt
Organism: Biomphalaria pfeifferi
Lineage: Eukaryota; Metazoa; Mollusca; Gastropoda; Planorbidae
Source: the annotation of a GenBank genome assembly